RNAcentral lists this ribosomal RNA (451 nucleotides) under Locustogammarus locustoides. Its description in RNAcentral is "partial 16S rRNA". The record is from RNAcentral. Lineage: Eukaryota; Metazoa; Arthropoda; Malacostraca; Amphipoda; Anisogammaridae.
CGUGCUAAGGUAGCAUAAUAAUUUGGCUUUUAAUUGAGGUCUGGAAUGAAAGGUUUAAUAUAUAUACAUACAUAUUACUUUCUUGUUUUAAAAGAUAAAACUUAGGGGCUGAGUAAAAACACUCAGUUGAUUGUAGGACGAUAAGACCCUAAAAGUUUUAUCUUUUAUGAAUUAGUUUAUUGUUAAACACUUAUACUAAAUGUAGAUUUGGUUGGGGUAACAGUUCUAGUUAAAUUAGAAUUAAUAAAAUACUAUUAUUAAACAGUGGUCCUUAAUAUUAGGAUAUUAAAUGUUAAUUACUUUAGGGGUAACAGAGUGAUUAUUUUAUAAAGCUCUUAUUUACAUAAUAGAUUGCUACCUCGAUGUUGAAUUAAGGGUUCGACUGGACGCAAAAGGCUUGGUUGAGGGUUUGUUCAACCUUUAAUUCCUUACAUGAUCUGAGUUUCAAACC